CUCUACUCCCUCCUUUUAUGGUUCUUUCCAGUCAUCACCAUGGCAACCGUCAACUGUCACAGCACCGAGGAAUGUGACAUUUAGCAUGGGGAUGGCUCAUAAUGAAAGCUAGAGGUUGUCUGGGGUCACUCAGCAGUCGCUGUAGAUCCAGCCUGUUUUGGCUGGCCCUGCUGAAAAGGAGCCUCUGGCCUACAGGCUCCUGUCCUGAAAGAUAAACCAGAUUAAGGGUGGGUAGAAAUUCAGCCAGCUCAAGUGAACAGCACAAGAUCAGGGUAGGUAAAACCAUAGCCCACAAUGUACUCUCAUCUAGAAAAAGGCUCUUUACAGGUGGAAUUAAGUGAAAAUGAAGUCAGUACCAUCAACUUCAACCCAGUAUGACUGUUGUCCUUAUAAAAAGUCCACAGGGAGAAGCAAGCCAACACCCGCCUUGGCUCCAGACUCGGGAACUCCAGGUUGUGGCCCUUCCCUGCGGCAGCCCUGGCCAGCUCACUGCUAGACAGACUUCCUGCAGCAACCGGUGCACACACCUCCUGCUUCCUGAAGGGAGGCUGCUCCCCCGGCAAACAAGGCAGCGCUUCCUGUUCCCAGUCUCUGCUUCCAGGAUGUUAGUCUUCCUCCCUCAGCUACACAAUAGCUUCCAAGGCCAACGUCCCUCCUUCCGGCCCUGCCUUUCCUCCACCCAGCACUUCAGCACCCGUCAUCAAAGGAGAUCUCAACAUCCACGGAGGGACCCAUGCAACCCCCAGGUUCAAGGUUCCUCCGCCACCAGGGCUUUCACAUCCACUCCAUCCACCCAUGUUCAGGGCCUCCCCACACCUGUGUCACCUCUUCCACCCCCCCCCAAUGGCUUUACCUGUGACACCAGGAGCACUGGCCUCAUGCCCUUUGACCUCUCUCUCUUCUCCAUCAACCAGCUCUGCCCUUCCUGCCGGUCCCAGUAGGGGACUAGCACUUCUGCCUGCCUGGCCAAGGCUCUCUCUUCCCUUCCUGGAUAUCAUCCCUGCCCUGGGGCAUCACCAGUCACCAGUUAUCUCCCCUCAGCCCUCUGUCCAUCUGCCGUCACCUCUUUCUAGCCUUUUCCCAUCAGUAUUUACUCAGCCAAAUCUAUCUCAGCUUUAAAGAGAGAGUUCUGUACACAUGAUUUUUUUUUUUCUGGAAGAAAAAUAUAAGAAACUGAUUGGCCUGGGUGGUAGUUCAGUGAUAGAGUGCUUGCCUGGCAAGUGUAAGGCCCUAGGUUGGAUCCACCCCAGCCUGGAAAGAAAAAAAAGAAAAAGAAAAAGAAAAAGAGAGAGAGGGAGAGAGAGAGGGAGAGGGAGAGAAAGAAAGAAAGAAAGAAAGAAAGAAAGAAAGAAAGAGAAGGAAAGAAAAAGAAAGAAAGGAGGGAGGGAAAGAAGAGGGAAGGGGAGAGAAGGAGAGAAGGAGGAAUGGAAAGAAGGAAGAAAUAAAGAAAGGAAAGAAAGAAGAAAAAAGAAAAGAAAGAAGAGAAAGAAGAAAUUGAUCAUAAUUAUCUUUGGAGAGAGACUGAAAAGUACAGUAUUUUAUUUUUCAUUUAAUAAAUUUGCUUUAUAUAGCCUUUGACUUUUAACC
This is a long non-coding RNA of Heterocephalus glaber (naked mole-rat), 1587 nucleotides long. NCBI's taxonomy places the organism in Eukaryota, Metazoa, Chordata, Mammalia, Rodentia, Bathyergidae. The record is from Ensembl.